UUAAGCCACAGGUUUGUAGUAAUUUGUUACAAGAAACUAAUAUAACUUCUAAACACAGGAGGGAGUGACUCCACAUCCUGCUUCAGAGGUGUUCUGUCUUGUAUAUCUCAGAGGAAAUAAUUCGAAAAACAGAAGAGUCCCACGUAAAUGUGCGUGAAAAUUUCACAUAAAAUACAUGGCUGAGAAUGGUCCUCCCCCAAGCCGUCCCAGGAUUCCCACUAUUGCUAGAAGGACUUUCAAGACAGCCUAUUUGGAAUUGGUUAGUGUCCUGAGCAACGUCCCCAAAUGUAAAUGCCUAUUAUGGAAGCACCUGGAGCAGUAUAAAUACGAGGCUCGGGAAGCAUCGGCGGGACCAGGCACCCAGCACGCUUCACCUCCUUCUGGGACCCACACCAGGCAGCCAGUGUCACCCAGACGCUUCUCCACGUUGUGUCCUCUCUUCAGCCUCUUUUCUCAGGUUGCCCCCAGUAAGCUCUGGAGCCAGGAAGAAAGAAAGAGGAGUGGGGUGUCUUCUGUGCAGAGAAUGAUCACUAAGCCGUAGCUGGAGAGUAGCUCGAGAUCUAGAAUUAAGCAAUCAAUCUGAGCCUUAAGGAGAUUAUCACUCAAAGGAGAUUGUUUGUCUGGAGAGAAAUUCUUAUUGUUGAGAAAUAAAAAGCAUGAUCUUACAAAAAUAUCUAACAAGGAACUCCUGCCCCUGCACCUAUAAAUCAGCCUGCAAAAGCACAGCCUUGCAGCUGCAUUCUGCUUCUGUAACCCUGCUUGCAAAAUUCCACCUAGCAACACGUUGCCAACGAGCAAAAGUUAUGCUGGUCCCACCUGAAAAACGGGACUCAGAAUCUGGAGAUUGACUCUCCUCUGGGCCUGCACAUAAUAAAUCUGUUCCUCCCCU
RNAcentral lists this long non-coding RNA (889 nucleotides) under Dasypus novemcinctus (nine-banded armadillo). RNAcentral describes it as "lncRNA (ENSDNOG00000051847.1)". Lineage: Eukaryota; Metazoa; Chordata; Mammalia; Cingulata; Dasypodidae. The record is from RNAcentral.